RNAcentral lists this ribosomal RNA (497 nucleotides) under uncultured bacterium. RNAcentral describes it as "partial 16S ribosomal RNA". It matches the Rfam family "Bacterial small subunit ribosomal RNA", at positions 28 to 507 of the family's 1533-position model. The record is from RNAcentral.
GAUGAACGCUGGCGGCGUGCCUAAUACAUGCAAGUCGAGCGAACGGACGAGAAGCUUGCUUCUCUGAUGUUAGCGGCGGACGGGUGAGUAACACGUGGAUAACCUACCUAUAAGACUGGGAUAACUUCGGGAAACCGGAGCUAAUACCGGAUAAUAUUUUGAACCGCAUGGUUCAAAAGUGAAAGACGGUCUUGCUGUCACUUAUAGAUGGAUCCGCGCUGCAUUAGCUAGUUGGUAAGUUAACGGCUUACCAAGGCAACGAUGCAUAGCCGACCUGAGAGAGUGAUAGGCCACACUGGAACUGAGACACGGUCCAGACUCCUAAGGGAGGCAGCAGUAGGGAAUCUUCCGCAAUGGGCGAAAGCCUGACGGAGCAACGGCGCGUGAGUGAUGGAGGUCUUCGGAUCGUAAAACUCUGUUAUUAGGGAAGAACAUAUGUGUAACUAACUGUGCACAUCUUGACGGUACCUAAUCAGAAAGCCACGGCUAACUACGUG